CUUUUAGACCCCUUUCUGUUUCUGCAGGUUGAUAUGACUGCUCUAAUACACAUGACUGAUGACGACCUCAAGGCUUUAGGAAUACCAAUGGGUCCAAGAAAGAAGAUACUUCUAGCGUUGGAAUCAAGAGCCUGACAUGUAAGAGGAGAGCAGGUUAUUUUCCGGAUAUAUUCCCUGUAUCAUUAUAUUCCUAUGGCACUUGCAUGUUAGCAGGCCUGUGUUUUGACUGCCAAGGGCUUGACAUCUUUCUCUCUUCUUUUUCUUUUUCCUUUUUUAUUUUUAAUUUUUUUAGUUUUUUUUUUUUUUUUUUUGGUCCCCCUUAUGACUCUGGUUGUAUUGCUGAUAGAGUGGCUUCACCAAGCUCAUUUUGAUAUUAAACCGAUGGGAAAUUAUUAGCUUGCAAGGGAGGUAGGAAUUUUAACGUAAUGAAUUUAUUGGUUUCUUUUA
Non-coding RNA from Corylus avellana, 447 nucleotides. NCBI's taxonomy places the organism in Eukaryota, Viridiplantae, Streptophyta, Magnoliopsida, Fagales, Betulaceae. The record is from RefSeq and is a predicted model, not a curated record.